RNAcentral lists this ribosomal RNA (441 nucleotides) under uncultured bacterium. RNAcentral's name for it is "partial 16S ribosomal RNA". It matches the Rfam family "Bacterial small subunit ribosomal RNA", at positions 338 to 795 of the family's 1533-position model. The record is from RNAcentral.
CCUACGGGAGGCAGCAGUGGGGGAUAUUGCACAAUGGGGGGAACCCUGAUGCAGCGACGCCGCGUGGGUGAAGGAGCGUUUCGGCGCGUAAAGCCCUAUCGGCAGGGAAGAAGGAGGACGGUACCUGACUAAGAAGCCCCGGCUAACUACGUGCCAGCAGCCGCGGUAAUACGUAGGGGGCAAGCGUUAUCCGGAUUUACUGGGUGUAAAGGGGGCGCAGACGGCAGCGCAAGCCAGGAGUGAAAGCCCGGGGCCCAACCCCGGGACUGCCCUUGGAACUGCAUGGCUGGAGUGCGGGAGGGGCAGGCGGAAUUCCUGGUGUAGCGGUCAAAUGCGUAGAUAUCAGGAGGAACACCGGCGGCGAAGGCGGCCUGCUGGACCGCGACUGACGUUGAGGCUCGAAAGCGUGGGGAGCGAACAGGAUUAGAUACCCCUGUAGUC